RNAcentral lists this ribosomal RNA (253 nucleotides) under uncultured microorganism. RNAcentral's name for it is "partial 16S ribosomal RNA". It matches the Rfam family "Bacterial small subunit ribosomal RNA", at positions 524 to 776 of the family's 1533-position model. The record is from RNAcentral.
UACGGAGGGGGCGAGCGUUGUUCGGAGUUACUGGGCGUAAAGCGCACGUAGGCGGUGCGGUAAGUCAGGGGUUAAAGGCUGCAGCUCAACUGCAGUAAGGCCUCAGAUACUAUCGUGCUAGAGUGCCGGAGAGGGUAGCGGAAUUCCCUGUGUAGCGGUGAAAUGCGUAGAUAUAGGGAGGAACACCGGUUGCGAAGGCGGCUACCUGGCCGGUAACUGACGCUGAGGUGCGAAAGCGUGGGGAGCAAACAGG